This 130-nucleotide transfer-messenger RNA is filed under the name Pseudomonadota bacterium. RNAcentral describes it as "partial transfer-messenger RNA". It matches the Rfam family "transfer-messenger RNA", at positions 236 to 374 of the family's 374-position model. Rfam says of the family: Bacterial tmRNA, also known as 10Sa RNA or SsrA, is named for its dual tRNA and mRNA-like properties. Lineage: Bacteria; Pseudomonadati; Pseudomonadota. The record is from RNAcentral.
ACUGUCAGCUGGCGCGGCGUCUUCCCUGCCCCUCGGGUAGCGCAGCGUGAGAACCAAAGAGCGGGCUACGUACGUAGAGCCUGAAGUCUAGGACUUGCGGACGGGGGUUCGAUUCCCCCCGCCUCCACCA